This 468-nucleotide ribosomal RNA is filed under the name uncultured bacterium. RNAcentral describes it as "partial 16S ribosomal RNA". It matches the Rfam family "Bacterial small subunit ribosomal RNA", at positions 28 to 507 of the family's 1533-position model. The record is from RNAcentral.
GACGAACGCUGGCGGCGUGCUUAACACAUGCAAGUCGAACGGAAAGGCCCUGCUUUUGUGGGGUGCUCGAGUGGCGAACGGGUGAGUAACACGUGAGUAACCUUCCCUUUACUUUGGGAUAACUUCAGGAAACUGUGGCUAAUACCGGAUAGGAGCUCCUGCUGCAUGGUGGGGGUUGGAAAGUUUCGGCGGUUGGGGAUGGACUCGCGGCUUAUCAGCUUGUUGGUGGGGUAGUGGCUUACCAAGGCUUUGACGGGUAGCCGGCCUGAGAGGGUGACCGGCAACAUUGGGACUGAGAUACGGCCCAGACUCCUACGGGAGGAAGAAGUGGGGAAUAUUGAAAAAUGGGCGGAAGCCUGAGGCAGAAACGCCGCGGGCGGGAUGACGGCCUUCGGGUUGUAAACCGCUUUCGCCUGUGACGAAGCGUGAGUGACGGUAAUGGGUAAAGAAGCACCGGCUAACUACGUG